This 1552-nucleotide ribosomal RNA is filed under the name Salmonella enterica. RNAcentral's name for it is "bacterial SSU rRNA". It matches the Rfam family "Bacterial small subunit ribosomal RNA". The record is from RNAcentral. Lineage: Bacteria; Pseudomonadati; Pseudomonadota; Gammaproteobacteria; Enterobacterales; Enterobacteriaceae.
AAAUUGAAGAGUUUGAUCAUGGCUCAGAUUGAACGCUGGCGGCAGGCCUAACACAUGCAAGUCGAACGGUAACAGGAAGCAGCUUGCUGCUUCGCUGACGAGUGGCGGACGGGUGAGUAAUGUCUGGGAAACUGCCUGAUGGAGGGGGAUAACUACUGGAAACGGUGGCUAAUACCGCAUAACGUCGCAAGACCAAAGAGGGGGACCUUCGGGCCUCUUGCCAUCAGAUGUGCCCAGAUGGGAUUAGCUUGUUGGUGAGGUAACGGCUCACCAAGGCGACGAUCCCUAGCUGGUCUGAGAGGAUGACCAGCCACACUGGAACUGAGACACGGUCCAGACUCCUACGGGAGGCAGCAGUGGGGAAUAUUGCACAAUGGGCGCAAGCCUGAUGCAGCCAUGCCGCGUGUAUGAAGAAGGCCUUCGGGUUGUAAAGUACUUUCAGCGGGGAGGAAGGUGUUGUGGUUAAUAACCACAGCAAUUGACGUUACCCGCAGAAGAAGCACCGGCUAACUCCGUGCCAGCAGCCGCGGUAAUACGGAGGGUGCAAGCGUUAAUCGGAAUUACUGGGCGUAAAGCGCACGCAGGCGGUCUGUCAAGUCGGAUGUGAAAUCCCCGGGCUCAACCUGGGAACUGCAUUCGAAACUGGCAGGCUUGAGUCUUGUAGAGGGGGGUAGAAUUCCAGGUGUAGCGGUGAAAUGCGUAGAGAUCUGGAGGAAUACCGGUGGCGAAGGCGGCCCCCUGGACAAAGACUGACGCUCAGGUGCGAAAGCGUGGGGAGCAAACAGGAUUAGAUACCCUGGUAGUCCACGCCGUAAACGAUGUCUACUUGGAGGCUGUGCCCUUGAGGCGUGGCUUCCGGAGCUAACGCGUUAAGUAGACCGCCUGGGGAGUACGGCCGCAAGGUUAAAACUCAAAUGAAUUGACGGGGGCCCGCACAAGCGGUGGAGCAUGUGGUUUAAUUCGAUGCAACGCGAAGAACCUUACCUGGUCUUGACAUCCACAGAAUCCUGUAGAGAUACGGGAGUGCCUUCGGGAACUGUGAGACAGGUGCUGCAUGGCUGUCGUCAGCUCGUGUUGUGAAAUGUUGGGUUAAGUCCCGCAACGAGCGCAACCCUUAUCCUUUGUUGCCAGCGGUCCGGCCGGGAACUCAAAGGAGACUGCCAGUGAUAAACUGGAGGAAGGUGGGGAUGACGUCAAGUCAUCAUGGCCCUUACGACCAGGGCUACACACGUGCUACAAUGGCAUAUACAAAGAGAAGCGACCUCGCGAGAGCAAGCGGACCUCAUAAAGUAUGUCGUAGUCCGGAUUGGAGUCUGCAACUCGACUCCAUGAAGUCGGAAUCGCUAGUAAUCGUGGAUCAGAAUGCCACGGUGAAUACGUUCCCGGGCCUUGUACACACCGCCCGUCACACCAUGGGAGUGGGUUGCAAAAGAAGUAGGUAGCUUAACCUUCGGGAGGGCGCUUACCACUUUGUGAUUCAUGACUGGGGUGAAGUCGUAACAAGGUAACCGUAGGGGAACCUGCGGUUGGAUCACCUCCUUACCUGAAAGAA